CAUAAGCUGCAUUGUACGUAUUGAUAUUAAGUUUUAACCUUUAAGCUGUAACAGGGAGUUUUAUAUAGAGCUGGAAUGACACGCCUUAUUCUCUUAUAGACAAUAAGGACAUGCAGGAUAGUUUCUGCGAACACCCACUUUGAGGAGUGGUGGUUUAAAACUUUCUAAUGAAUGUACGGCAAAGGCGGCUUACUU
RNAcentral lists this non-coding RNA (195 nucleotides) under Psychrobacillus psychrodurans. Its description in RNAcentral is "6S RNA". It matches the Rfam family "6S / SsrS RNA". Rfam says of the family: E. coli 6S RNA was the first non coding RNA to be sequenced, but its function was unknown until recently. It consists of 184 nucleotides that fold into an extended hairpin structure with a large single-stranded internal bulge. The 6S RNA specifically associates with RNA polymerase holoenzyme containing the sigma70 specificity factor. The record is from RNAcentral. Lineage: Bacteria; Bacillati; Bacillota; Bacilli; Caryophanales; Bacillaceae.